This is a non-coding RNA of Microcebus murinus (gray mouse lemur), 1212 nucleotides long. The record is from RefSeq and is a predicted model, not a curated record. NCBI's taxonomy places the organism in Eukaryota, Metazoa, Chordata, Mammalia, Primates, Cheirogaleidae.
GUUUUCGGGGGUCUUAAGUAACUGGUUACAGGUUCACAUCCUCGGUCUUUCGGCCUUUGUCGGGCUAAACUGGCUGGCACUUGUAGGCCGGUCGCGCGCCUUUACUGUGCCCACAAGAGGAGGAUGGUGAGGGAUUGCGCGUUUGGUGCAGGCGCGACCUAGAGGGUUGUUGGGGCCGAACGGCAGGCAAACCUCGGCUCGCGUUCCCUGCCUCUGAUGAAGCCUGUGUUGGUAGGGACAUCUGAGAAUGUUGAUGAAUGCCAACUGCUCUGAUGGCCGAACGCGAGGAGUUGACUGAGUGGGCCUUUGUGUAGGACGCGGUGGAACCACCGCCGUCGCUCGUUCUCGGGAAGACGGGUGGUUGCGUUAGUCCACGUGAUUCUCCGGGUGGCUCGGUUUCCCAGUGCCGCCACUGUUUCCAUCUAUAGUUAACUGGGUGCAGUGCUCUCCUUUGUAACGGUAGGUGCCUCUACCUAUCGUGCAGUUAUGGGUGGUAAAGGUUAACUGCAUGAUUGGUAACAAAAACAUAGCAACGUGGGAACGAUGAUUUUUAAAUCUGCACCUAAUUUUUUCCUUAGGAAUGGUGGUAGGCUUGGAUGCAGUGUGGCCUUUGGUGGCAUGUUAUCAGUUCUGUGCCAAGGGAGUGAUGAGAGUAGCUACGGAGGUCCUAAAGAGCAAGCCUCACUGUUGCUGUGAGCACACAGGCACUGAAAAGAAAGCUGGAGGAUGAAAUGAUGGAGUCCAACUUGUUUAUACCAGCUUUAUAUUUUUGCUACUGGUUACACAUUUUUUUCCAUGGACAGCUUGCUUGGGCUGAAUGAUCCUGCCACAGUCUCCUGAGUAGCUGGGACUGCAGGCAUGCGUCACCAGGUCCAGCUAGAACCUUUCAAGGUAUGAAGAGUAAGCUUGACAGCAGUGCAUGGAGCAAGUUUUCAGAAGAGGCAGACCUUCUAUUCUAAAAACUUCUAGGGAUUUCAUAUGACCACAGCAAAGCAGCAUGCAGCUUACCCUUCAAAAGGCACUUUCAUGGAUGCUGAUGGAAAGAGUAAACAACAUCUUUCAAUGUAAUAACUUUCUGCAAACCAGCUGGAGGAGUGAUUAUUCUAAAUGGGAUGAAAGAAGGGAAGUUAACCCAAUCAAAUAAUGAAGGGAUGUUUUAGUUGUUUGCCUGUUAAUUUUAAGUUGAAAUAAACACAGAUCAUUAAGACUCCA